CAGCAGCCGCCGCGGGAAUACGUAGGUGGCAAGCGUUGUCCGGAAUUAUUGGGCGUAAAGGGCUCGCAGGCGGUUUCUUAAGUCUGAUGUGAAAGCCCCCGGCUCAACCGGGGAGGGUCAUUGGAAACUGGGAAACUUGAGUGCAGAAGAGGAGAGUGGAAUUCCACGUGUAGCGGUGAAAUGCGUAGAGAUGUGGAGGAACACCAGUGGCGAAGGCGACUCUCUGGUCUGUAACUGACGCUGAGGAGCGAAAGCGUGGGGAGCGAACAGGAUUAGAGACCCCGGUAGUCCCUGUCUCUUAUAC
This 304-nucleotide ribosomal RNA is filed under the name uncultured bacterium. RNAcentral's name for it is "partial 16S ribosomal RNA". It matches the Rfam family "Bacterial small subunit ribosomal RNA", at positions 506 to 807 of the family's 1533-position model. The record is from RNAcentral.